Molecule: transfer RNA, 75 nt
Filed under: Phractolaemus ansorgii (hingemouth)
Lineage: Eukaryota; Metazoa; Chordata; Actinopteri; Gonorynchiformes; Kneriidae
Description: tRNA-Lys
Source: RNAcentral
CGCUAAGAAGCUAAACAGGACCUAAGCGUUAGCCUUUUAAGCUAAAGACUGGUGACCACCGACCACCCUGAGCGA